Unclassified non-coding RNA from Pelusios castaneus (West African mud turtle), 300 nucleotides. It matches the Rfam family "Metazoan signal recognition particle RNA". Rfam says of the family: The signal recognition particle (SRP) is a universally conserved ribonucleoprotein. It is involved in the co-translational targeting of proteins to membranes. The eukaryotic SRP consists of a 300-nucleotide 7S RNA and six proteins: SRPs 72, 68, 54, 19, 14, and 9. The record is from Ensembl. NCBI's taxonomy places the organism in Eukaryota, Metazoa, Chordata, Testudines, Pelomedusidae.
GCUGGGCAUGGUGGCACGUGCCUGUAAGCCCUGCUCCUGGGGCAGCUGAGAUCACUGGAUCGCUUGAGGCCAGGGGUUCUGGGCUGCAGUGUGCUAUGUCGAUUGGGUGUCCGCACUAAGUUCAGCAUCAAUAUGGUGAUCCCUGGGGAGCUUGGGGUUACCAGGUUGCCUAAGGAGGGGUGAACCGGCCCAGGCUGGAAACAGAGCAGGUCAAAGCUCCUGUGCUGAUCAGUAGUGGGAUUGCACCUGUGAAUAGCCACUGCAGUGUAGCCUGGGCAAGACAGUGAGACGUGGUCUCCU